This 135-nucleotide non-coding RNA is filed under the name Paraburkholderia sacchari. RNAcentral's name for it is "Burkholderia sacchari Burkholderia sRNA 39". It matches the Rfam family "Burkholderia sRNA 39". Rfam says of the family: Trans-encoded, exhibits differential expression profiles dependent on growth phase and cell stimuli, such as antbiotics and serum. The record is from Rfam by way of RNAcentral. Lineage: Bacteria; Pseudomonadati; Pseudomonadota; Betaproteobacteria; Burkholderiales; Burkholderiaceae.
GUAUUGUGGGGACCGCCUCCACCGAGAGGCGUUGGGCAUUAGCCAGCAACGACGGCUUGCACGCGAGACUAGACCCCUUCGUUCGUGCAUCCCUCCUUCAAGCAGCCGUCGCAGCCAGCCAGGCCGUUUUUUUUG